Molecule: non-coding RNA, 508 nt
Organism: Camelina sativa (false flax)
Lineage: Eukaryota; Viridiplantae; Streptophyta; Magnoliopsida; Brassicales; Brassicaceae
Source: RefSeq, a predicted model, not a curated record
GCUGAACUUGUGACCAACCAGGCAAUCUUUCAGGGAGACUCUGAGCUCCAACAGCUCCUCCAUAUUUUCAAGUUGUUUGGGACACCCAAUGAAGAAAUGUGGCCUGGCGUGAACACACUCAAGAACUGGCAUGAAUACCCACAGUGGAAACCCUCGAGUCUCUCCUCAGCUGUUCCAAACCUCGACGAGGCUGGACUUGAUCUUCUCUCUAAAAUGCUGCAGUACGAGCCAGCGAAACGAAUCUCAGCGAAGAUGGCUAUGGAGCAUCCUUACUUUAAUGAUCUGCCAGACAAGUCUUCUCUCUAAGGAUUUAAAUCUUCAGUUAGUAUCUUUCCCAGUUUUAUUGUUUUGCUUCUUUCUAGCAUAUCUCUAGUGUGCUGCUUCCCCCUCUAGGAAUCAUCCUUCUUUCAAGCAGAAUAUCACUUCUGAUUGUUGUUUCUUUCUGUUCGAAUAUUUGUAUCAAACGGCUUUAACGUCUUGAGAAUAUAUAAAAAUUUGCAAUUAUGCA